This 446-nucleotide ribosomal RNA is filed under the name uncultured bacterium. Its description in RNAcentral is "partial 16S ribosomal RNA". It matches the Rfam family "Bacterial small subunit ribosomal RNA", at positions 338 to 795 of the family's 1533-position model. The record is from RNAcentral.
CCUACGGGUGACAGCAGUCGAGAAUCAUUCACAAUGGGGGAAACCCUGAUGGUGCGACACCGCGUGGGGGAAUGAAGGUCUUCGGAUUGUAAACCCCUGUCAUGUGGGAGCAAAUUAAAAAGAUAGUACCACAAGAGGAAGAGACGGCUAACUCUGUGCCAGCAGCCGCGGUAAUACAGAGGUCUCAAGCGUUGUUCGGAAUCACUGGGCGUAAAGCGUGCGUAGGCUGUUUCGUAAGUCUUGUGUGAAAGGCGCGGGCUCAACCCGCGGACGGCACAUGAUACUGCGAGACUAGAGUAAUGGAGGGGGAACCGGAAUUCUCGGUGUAGCAGUGAAAUGCGUAGAUAGCGAGAGGAACACUCGUGGCGAGGGCGGGUUCCUGGACAUUAACGGACGCUGAGGCACGAAGGCCAGGGGAGCAAACAGGAUUAGAUACCCCGGUAGUC